GGUGUCUUCGGGUACCAGUAUCAGAUGGCCGUGGAGGUUGAAGACGAUGUCUUCUUUGCAGAUCUAAGCAAGCAGAUUGCCAUGCUAAUUAUGGAUGAUGAGGAAGAAUUCCCAGUGCAGUGUCCACCCCUUCCGGUUCAGGGGCUUCCCUGCAUGCCUCGAACCAUGAUGCUGCCAUCAUCAUAUGGCUACGAGGAGAUGGCCAUCGGAAGGGAGAGAAAAGGAACUGGAGUCUUCAUUCCACUCUCCACUGCACCAAGAAGAAAGAAGAGGCCAAGGAGAUCCACUUGGGUGGACAACCGCAACGACUUCCAUGGGCAGAAGCUGGGCAUGUCUGCGACCGUGGCUUCUCCCAUCACCAUCACCAAACCUCAUCGACCCAAAUCAUUGCAGGAACUCAAGUGUGCUAAAGAGGCACAUAUAGUAAUAUCAAAUGAUCUUUAGCUCAUACUAACUACAGAAAUUAUCAUGGUAAGUUUGUACAGGAGAAUAACACUCUUCCAACUGGUUAUGUGUGUACCUGUGAAGAGGGCCUCAAAUAAGCUUCCAACCUCCUCUGUGGAAUGUAUAAUUCCUGUAAUAGCUAGAAAUGUAUUGGUUGAUGAAUGCAAAGCAUGAAAAAUAAUUAUGUUAUAAAGAGUGUAAUCAAAUCAAAAAUGAAGCGCCAAGCCUUAUCCAUGAAGUUUAGCUUUUUAGAAUUGCAA
Long non-coding RNA from Musa acuminata AAA Group (dessert banana), 704 nucleotides. RefSeq lists it as uncharacterized. The record is from RefSeq and is a predicted model, not a curated record. The transcript is spliced from 2 exons. Lineage: Eukaryota; Viridiplantae; Streptophyta; Magnoliopsida; Zingiberales; Musaceae.